GACGAGCGCUGGCGGCGUGCUUAACACAUGCAAGUCGAACGGAAAGGCCCUGCUUUUGUGGGGUGCUCGAGUGGCGAACGGGUGAGUAACACGUGAGUAACCUGCCCUUGACUUUGGGAUAACUUCAGGAAACUGGGGCUAAUACCGGAUAGGAGCUCCUGCUGCAUGGUGGGGGUUGGAAAGUUUCGGCGGUUGGGGAUGGACUCGCGGCUUAUCAGCUUGUUGGUGGGGUAGUGGCUUACCAAGGCUUUGACGGGUAGCCGGCCUGAGAGGGGGACCGGCCACAUUGGGACAGAGAUACGGCCCAGACCCCUACGGGAGGCAGCAGUGGGGAAUAUUGCACAAUGGGCGGAAGCCUGAUGCAGCAACGCCGCGUGCGGGAUGAGGCCUUCGGGUUGUAAACCGCUUUCGCCUGUGACGAAGCGUGGGUGACGGUAAUGGGUAAAGAAGCACCGGCUAACUACGUG
This 467-nucleotide ribosomal RNA is filed under the name uncultured bacterium. RNAcentral's name for it is "partial 16S ribosomal RNA". It matches the Rfam family "Bacterial small subunit ribosomal RNA", at positions 28 to 507 of the family's 1533-position model. The record is from RNAcentral.